Molecule: microRNA, 24 nt
Filed under: Heligmosomoides polygyrus
Lineage: Eukaryota; Metazoa; Nematoda; Chromadorea; Rhabditida; Heligmosomidae
Description: hpo-miR-63a-3p
Gene: hpo-miR-63a-3p
Source: miRBase by way of RNAcentral
UAUGACACUGUUGCGAACUGGGAU